RNAcentral lists this ribosomal RNA (413 nucleotides) under uncultured bacterium. Its description in RNAcentral is "bacterial SSU rRNA". It matches the Rfam family "Bacterial small subunit ribosomal RNA", at positions 505 to 916 of the family's 1533-position model. The record is from RNAcentral.
GUGUCAGCCGCCGCGGUAAUACGUAGGUGGCAAGCGUUGUCCGGAAUUAUUGGGCGUAAAGCGCGCGCAGGUGGUUUCUUAAGUCUGAUGUGAAAGCCCACGGCUUAACCGUGGAGGGUCAUUGGAAACUGGGAGACUUGAGUGCAGAAGAGGAAAGUGGAAUUCCAAGUGUAGCGGUGAAAUGCGUAGAGAUUUGGAGGAACACCAGUGGCGAAGGCGACUUUCUGGUCUGCAACUGACGCUGAGGCGCGAAAGCAUGGGGAGCAAACAGGAUUAGAUACCCUGGUAGUCCACGCCGUAAACGAUGAAUGCUAGGUGUUAGGGGGGUCCAACCCCUUAGUGCUGAAGUCAACACAUUAAGCAUUCCGCCUGGGGAGUACGACCGCAAGGUUGAAACUUAAAGGAAUUGACGG